This is a non-coding RNA of Schistocerca serialis cubense, 72 nucleotides long. Lineage: Eukaryota; Metazoa; Arthropoda; Insecta; Orthoptera; Acrididae. The record is from the annotation of a RefSeq genome assembly.
GCCAAGGUGGCUUAGUGGCUUAAGCACCUGCCUAAUAAGCAGGAGAGCCGCGUUCGAUUCCCGGCCUUGGUA